RNAcentral lists this ribosomal RNA (120 nucleotides) under Propithecus coquereli (Coquerel's sifaka). The record is from RNAcentral. Lineage: Eukaryota; Metazoa; Chordata; Mammalia; Primates; Indriidae.
GUCUAUGGCCAUACCACCCUGAAUACACCUGAUCUCACCUGAUUUUGGAAACUAAGCCAGGUUGGGCCUGGUUAGUACUUGGAUGGGAAACCGGAGGUGGACUGAGCCUAACUAAAGUCC